CGGCACUACGUUCUACCUAACGAAUUGGAAUACCAUGAAGGCUGUCGUGGCAAUGAAUAUUAUCGCCGUUUGUGCUCUCCUUUUCUUUGGGGCUUUAGCGGUUCCUCUUGCUGAACCUGAAGCUAGAGUCGUACCUUCAGAGGAGGCCUUGUGGGGUGAUCAUGCUUCGCACGAGUCAGAGAGAGGUAUUGGUGGCGGCUGCGCGGCCUCCCUCUGCGGCUAGGCACUGCAAGUCCUGCACCUACGGCAUGAAUGCAAACGAGAAAAAGCUACGCACUUGUCGCGUUUUCGCGGUCAUACAUUCUUA
Long non-coding RNA from Rhipicephalus microplus (southern cattle tick), 307 nucleotides. The record is from RefSeq and is a predicted model, not a curated record. NCBI's taxonomy places the organism in Eukaryota, Metazoa, Arthropoda, Arachnida, Ixodida, Ixodidae.